GAUGAAGAACGUAGCGAAAUGCGAUAAGUAAUGUGAAUUGCAGAAUUCAGUGAAUCAUCGAAUCUUUGGACGCAUCUUGCGCUCCUUGGUAUUCUGAGGAGCAUGCCUGUUUGAGUGUCAUUAAAUUCUCAACUACACUGACUUUGAAUUGGUGUGGCUUGGAUUUGGGGGGAAAAUUGUUGUGGGCUUUUUGUAUAGUCUGCUCCCCUGAAAUUGAUUAGCGGUACCUUUGUGGAACUGUCUACAGGUGUGAUAAUUAUCUACAUCUUAGACAUCUGCUGGAAUGCUGCUUUCUAAACCUUACUUGUAUUGACAAUCUUGACCUCAAAUCAGGUAGGACUACCCGCUGAACUUAAGCAUAUCAAUAAGCGGAGGA
RNAcentral lists this unclassified non-coding RNA (376 nucleotides) under soil metagenome. RNAcentral describes it as "partial contains 5.8S ribosomal RNA, internal transcribed spacer 2, and large subunit ribosomal RNA". The stretch from base 1 to 120 matches the Rfam family "5.8S ribosomal RNA", at positions 35 to 154 of the family's 154-position model. The record is from RNAcentral.